Molecule: ribosomal RNA, 451 nt
Filed under: Streptococcus cristatus
Lineage: Bacteria; Bacillati; Bacillota; Bacilli; Lactobacillales; Streptococcaceae
Description: bacterial SSU rRNA
Rfam family: Bacterial small subunit ribosomal RNA
Source: RNAcentral
CGAACGCUGGCGGCGUGCCUAAUACAUGCAAGUAGAACGCUGAAGGGAGAGCUUGCUCUUCUGGAUGAGUUGCGAACGGGUGAGUAACGCGUAGGUAACCUGCCUGGUAGCGGGGGAUAACUAUUGGAAACGAUAGCUAAUACCGCAUAACAUUGACUAUUGCAUGAUAGUCAAUUAAAAGGUGCAAAUGCACCACUACCAGAUGGACCUGCGUUGUAUUAGCUAGUUGGUGGGGUAACGGCUCACCAAGGCGACGAUACAUAGCCGACCUGAGAGGGUGAUCGGCCACACUGGGACUGAGACACGGCCCAGACUCCUACGGGAGGCAGCAGUAGGGAAUCUUCGGCAAUGGACGGAAGUCUGACCGAGCAACGCCGCGUGAGUGAAGAAGGUUUUCGGAUCGUAAAGCUCUGUUGUAAGAGAAGAACGAGUGUGAGAGUGGAAAGUUCAG